GGUGCCCUGCAUUCUGUGUUUUUGAAGGGAGCAGGGCAAGCACUCCAAUUUAUGUAAUGACAUUGUCAAAUUUGGCUCCACUCAUCACUCAGACAGAGAGGAGAAGGAAUCGAUUUUUGGACCUGAGGUGCUGUCGUAAAGGCCUGUCCCAGUGUAGGGACAGGCUUCCUGGGACCAGAGCAGCCUCAGUGCCUCCCCCAGAGCAGCGCCACACCCCCGCACCCCAUUAGUCCCCCAGCGCCCCCAGUCCCCUUAACCCCCUCAUCGUCCCCUUAGAGCAUUGCGGAGAUUCCCAGGGCAGCCGGCAGAGGGCGCCCGCAUGCCUCCAGCCAGCGGGGCUGUUUGCUCCCGUGCUCAGCAGCCUUAGGGGUAGGCGGCGCGCCAUGACGUCAUCUGACGCUGGGUUUCAGGGCAGGAAGGGUUUGUGCCGCCAGCUGAGGACCCUCAGACCCUCAGACCCUCAGGGCUGCGUUUACAGCAAGUUCUGACGCUGCCCCGGAGAGACCCUCGGGACUUUGCAGCAGCUUGGUGCCUCCUGUGGUGCGAUGGCUGGAGUGCCCUUGUGGGCUGAGAGCUGAGGAGGGGGCUCUGGGCGGCUUCCCGAGACAGGCUGAUGCAGGCUUGUUUCUGGGGAGAAAUCCGGACUCGAAUUAAGAGGAACGGGAGCAGCAUGUGGUUGUGAGUGAAAACCCCAAAUGCUGACUCUCGGGGCGCCCUAGAAGAAUGCACUUGGGACCCAUUGCCGAUUACUGCUGGAAUCAGAGCCCCAGGGAAGGUGAAUGGGAACAGCUGAGUCCUGCCUUCAGAUAACUGGGAAGAAGAAAGAAUUUCAUAUGGGCUACCAGGAACGUGGGCAGAUGAAAGCCCUACUGCACAUUGUGCUCCACUUGCCGGAAGCAGCUGUCGCUCCCAGGAACAGAACGCAAGAGACGCAGGAACAGCCACAGCAGCCAGAGCUCCCCUCAGACAGCACCUUCUGAGAGCGGGAG
Long non-coding RNA from Mustela lutreola (European mink), 989 nucleotides. RefSeq lists it as uncharacterized. The record is from RefSeq and is a predicted model, not a curated record. The transcript is spliced from 4 exons. NCBI's taxonomy places the organism in Eukaryota, Metazoa, Chordata, Mammalia, Carnivora, Mustelidae.